Molecule: ribosomal RNA, 249 nt
Filed under: uncultured Azospirillum sp.
Lineage: Bacteria; Pseudomonadati; Pseudomonadota; Alphaproteobacteria; Rhodospirillales; Azospirillaceae
Description: partial 16S ribosomal RNA
Rfam family: Bacterial small subunit ribosomal RNA
Source: RNAcentral
UGGGGAAUAUUGGACAAUGGGGGCAACCCUGAUCCAGCAAUGCCGCGUGAGUGAUGAAGGCCUUAGGGUUGUAAAGCUCUUUCGCACGCGACGAUGAUGACGGUAGCGCGAGAAGAAGCCCCGGCUAACUUCGUGCCAGCAGCCGCGGUAAUACGAAGGGGGCGAGCGUUGUUCGGAAUUACUGGGCGUAAAGGGCGCGUAGGCGGCCUGUUUAGUCAGAAGUGAAAGCCCCGGGCUUAACCUGGGAAC